CUGCCCUCAGUCCUGCCCACUGUCCACCUGAGCCACAGCACAGUGUGAGGCUUACCUGAGAGGACACGGAAGGUGCCGCUUUAGACCAGUGUGUUGUGUGGGAUGGCCCCAGCAUGUCCCACCAGUACCUCUUCUCUAAGAAGGCUGUGACACUCAGAGAACGAAUCCCUAGAAACAUCCAGAACCAUACAGAGGAGGGGACAGAAGUGGCAUCAUCUGCAGCCUCAAUGGUCAGUACUGCCCGGUGUGUAAGGCCUGCUGCACAGAGGACUGUGGAGAGCAAGGCACUGACCAGAGCUGUUUAAAGGAACUGCCGCUGUCACAGAAG
Heterocephalus glaber (naked mole-rat) is the source of this 328-nucleotide long non-coding RNA. The record is from Ensembl. NCBI's taxonomy places the organism in Eukaryota, Metazoa, Chordata, Mammalia, Rodentia, Bathyergidae.